Molecule: long non-coding RNA, 4188 nt
Filed under: Ictidomys tridecemlineatus (thirteen-lined ground squirrel)
Lineage: Eukaryota; Metazoa; Chordata; Mammalia; Rodentia; Sciuridae
Description: lncRNA (ENSSTOG00000029877.1)
Source: RNAcentral
CUAUAUUUGUAAGAUUUAUUAAUUUGUUGCCAGAGAUUGAGGUUACUCAUUCUCAUUACUUAUAUUAUUCCAUUGUGUGAAAAUUUUACUGUAAAGAAAGAGACAUUUGAGUUAUUUUUAGAUUUGAUUCUUACAAUGCUGCUGUGAAUAUGGCUUUUCUUGAAAAUAUACAUGUAUUUUUGUUGUUUAUAACUAGGAAUGAAAUUGUAGGGUCAUAACAUAUGCCAAACAAAGUAGUUGUACAUAUUUAUAUCCCAGCAGGAAUAUUAAUGCUUGGUACUGUCUUUUCAUUUUAGCCAUAUGGUGGAUGUAUAAUGGUAUUGUGUGUGUUUUAUUUGCAUUUCACUGAGUAAUUAAGUUGAUCACUUUUUAUUUAGAUUUGUUUUUUGAAUACCUAUUUUGCCACGUUUAUAAUUAGUUUCUGUCCUUUUUUUUUUUCUUGAUUUGUAGAGUUGUUUAUAUGUUUUGCUCUGAGGACAUUUUUAGUCCAUCUAUUACUUUACUCCCAGCUUUUCUAUCUCCUCUGAUCUUUAUUGACCUCUUAACUGCCUGUAAGUUUAGGAUUAGGCUUUGGAGUGGUUUUAUUUUACUUUCUAGGUAAUUGUAUCUUGUUAUCUCCUUGCAAGGAGCACUUCAAUUUCCCAAACCUGUUGUGAUCUCCCAGCUUGAACAAGGUCAGGAGUCGUAUAUUCUUGAUCCACAGGGAGCUGGGUUAAGAGUGGCCCCAAGAAGCUCCUGCAUAGAUCCAGGUAUUAGAACCAAGAUUGGGGAUGAAAAAUCAGCUGAAAAACUUGAAAAACUAAUGUUUGAAAAUAAGGAGGCACACUGGGUCAUGAAAAGUACCCAGAAGAAUCAGUGUGGAAAAUCCAUAGGAGAAACACUGAAAAAUAAGAAUGAAAAUUCUAGGAAGGUGAAUGACAAAGCUAAGAAAAUUAUGAUGGAUGUGUCAGAACUAAAAGUCACAGAACCGAGUCAUUGGUAUCCAAAGCUAAACCUUGUCCAGAUGCUAAUGCUUUUGUGCCACAGUCCGGCUGGCUGGGCAGAAUAACUGGGGGUGAUGAACAACUUGUGUACGUUGAUACAGCAGGAGUGGAAGCCGUUUAUUGUAGGACAACAGAGGUAUUUAUACAUUCCACACAGCUUAUCUUAAUUAACAUAAACUAAAUACAGCAGUCAACCAAUAAGAAAUCUCCACAAUUAAUGGCUCGCUGGUGUUACUUCACAAACCACUGCCUCUGGCAUUUUGCCAGGCGCCAUCAGACUUGUUUACAGACUCUAACAUUUCUCUGGCAAAAUGCCAGGCGCCAUCCUGACUUGUUUACAGACUUUAACACUUUUGAAUUAAUGUAGAUGAAAGAAUUAAUGUAGAAAGAAUCCUCUCCCUGAACAUGUCCCAUGUAUUGGGGAUUGAACCCAGGGGCACUUAAUCAUUGAGUCACAUUCUCACCUCUUUUUAUUGAUUUUGAGACAGAGAUCUUUAAGUUGCUUUGGGGCCUCAUUAAAUUGCUGAGGUUGGUUUCAAAUUUGCCAUCUUCCCUGCCUCAGCCUCCACAGUCACUGGGAUUAUAGGCAGCUGUGCAUACAGUGCCCGGCAAUAUAUAGAUUUUUAAAAAAUUUCUCUUAGUUUUCUAGUUUCCAAAUAUAAAUAUUUAGCCUUCGGUAUCUCUUGGAUUCAACCAAUGCCAAUUGAAAAUAUUUGGAAGAAACUUGCAUUUAUACUGAACAUAGAUUUUUUUUCUUGUCAUUUCCCAAACAGCACAAUGUAACAACUAUUUACAUAGCAUCUACAUUACACUAGAUAUUAUAAGUAAUCUAAAUAUGUUUUAAAAUAUAUAAAAGAAUACGUGUAGGUUAUAUGUAAAUAAUAUGCCAUUUAAUUUGAGGGAGUUGAGUAUCCACAGAUUUUAGUAACUUAAGGAGUCCCCACAGAUAUUGAGGAAUGACUGUACUUAAAUAUACCUUCAAGAAAUGCUGUGAGGAUUUGAUAAUAUUAUGCAUGUGAAAGAAAAACAAUAUUAUCUUUCCCAUUUCCUAAGUCUUAGGUGUUUUGUAUGUCUUCAAAGUUAACACAAACUGAAGUUGUUGCUCCAGUAUUAAUCAUUUAAUAAGGAUCUUAUUUAUUCUGCAGAUUCAAUAUUUUCAUGAAGAUUAAUAAAAAUAUAUUCAUUUAUUAAUUCUACAGACAUUUACUGUUUUAAUUCAUGUCAGAAACUGAUUAGACACAGCAAAAUCAAACACUUAUUGUUGAAAAGCUCACCAAUGCUUUUCCCUCAAAUACAAAUACAAACAAGUAACUAAAAUAAAAUGGGAUAAUGCCAUAAUACUGAUAUAAUCAGGAUUUUAAGGGAAUUAAGAGAUAAAUUAAUGAUAUUUUGGAGGACUUUUCAGAUGAUACAAGAUUUUUAACUGGGUAUGAAAGAUUGAGUAGGAGAUUUUAAGUAAUACAUCAAAUGUCUUAUCAAGAUUUGGGAUCAGGUGUCAUCACAAAGGAAAGUUGAAAUCGUUUAUAAUAUUCACAAUUUCACCAGUCUAUACUUUAUUGCCUUCCAUAGUCCUAAUAACACCAUAAAGUUUAUAUUUCUUCAUGCUUUUCCUGUCCUCUUUUACCAUUUAUAAUUCUUCAUUUUUAUCAAGGCUAACGUGACUGAAAAUUUAAAGUUAUCUGCAAAGAGGAAUUACAUUACAAGGAAGAUAUGAUGUUUUCAUAAUGCAAAUUUGAAAGAGAAGAUCAUAAACUCUUAAUGACUGUCUUUGAAAUAUCACAGCAAGGGCAUCUUUCACAUGAAGAGAGGAUUUCCAAUCUCUGAAAUGGCUGACUUGUAGAGAAGUGAAGCAGUUUACUCUCCAGCCCAGGGAUUUCUAAAUUUGAAUGUAUUUGGUAGUAAAGUGAGAAGUGGGGGGAAAUCACAAGGGUGCUAAUUUUUUGUUUUGUCAAUGAAGAACAUCAAGCUUCCUUUCAAAAAUUUACCAUGUACUAUCACCAUCAUUCAAUACAAGAAAGAUCAUUAUAAAGCCAAAUUGCAUGAAGGGUAUGGUAUUAUUAAAUGCAACCUUUGUAGUGACUUCAUUUAAUCAUGAGUGAAACUUCUUAUUUUCCUAAUUUUUCAAGAUUUGUGGUGGUAGUGGUAGUGGAAAGUCUCUCAUGGACUGACUCUAAUCUGGAGUCCAACAUUAAGGAUAUUUAUCUAAGAAUUCUGAUUGAUAUCUAUGUUCUUUUCCAUAUCUACCAGGAAGGAAAAGAAUAUAGAUAUCAAGGACAUUCAUUAAAAUCUAUAAAACUAUGUUAAUUUUCUGUUAUGAGACACUUGAUAUCUCCCUAUUCCCUACAAUAGUGGUUCUUAAACUUCUGCUUCAUCAUAAUCAACUGGGAGCUUAUUUAAAAAAAUGUAGUUUGCUAAGUCCAUCCUCAGAUUGUUGACUCAAUAUUUCUGGAAUGAGGCUCAAGAACGUGCAUUUCUAAUAAGUUUCCAGGUGAUGCUAAUACUUCUGGUCCCAGGACCCCAGUUUCCUCCAUGAUAAAACCCAAAUUCCUUACCAGGUCAUAUAAGGGUUAGAGUUAAGUUACUCUAAUAGAAAGCCCCCCAAUACAGAGGCUUAAUUAAUAUUACAAACAAUGGAAGAAUUUUUUCCUGUAAUGGUCUGAAACUGUUGCUCUGCCAGUUACAUACUUAUUACAUUCUUUCUCAUGGGUUCUGUUUCCAUUUGUGUGGUCCAAGUGAGAUACCCUCCAUAUUCACAUUCCAGCAAAUAGGAAAGGGAGUAAGGAAGGUGAUAGAAGUAGAUUCAUGUGAAACCCAUUACUUUCCUGACAUUGUAUUGGUGGAGACCAAACUAAGAGUGUGAUUUGCAGCAUGGUGGCCAUAUAUCUAGCUAAAACUUCAGGUGGAAUAUGUAUUGGUAGAUAGCCUCCACCACAAAGGCUGGUCAGCAUUCUCGUGUGAAUGAAGAGGAGUGUCAUUUCUGAUAGAGUAGUAUGUCUUGGAAGAAUAAAAACUGUCCAGAUAACUCUACAUGAACAUAGAUGUCCAUGUGAAAUUUUUCUUAAUAUCUUUUGCAUAACUCUAUUACUGUAUUUACUACAUUUUAUAAUUAGUUAUUUUAUCCCAUAGAUAUUUAUGUAUUUAUGUCUCCAUAUCAUUUCUCUAUAUUUCCUAUUUAAAAAGUUGAACAUUGUAUCUUGGUACAUUG